UUUCUACAGUAAAAUUUUACAGUAACUUCUUGUUCUGUCAUUUUACAAAGUAUAACUGUAGACCACAAUGCAUCAUGGGUCCAAAAUAAUUACAGUAGCUGACAGCAUUUUUCCACUGUAACAUAUUGUAAAAUGACAGGCAAAUUGUAUUCUGACUGUAGAUGAUGCGUAUUACGGUUAAAUACUGUUGAUAUCGGAUUGCAUUACAUUGAAAGAGCAGCACGUGCACAGGUGAAGCAGAGGAGCAACGCAGUGUUCAAACACUCCAUAAAACCUAACGUUAGGUGCAGAGGAAACCGCCGCACCACCGCUUAAGGCACAGUGAUCAUCACCAACAGACAUCGGUGAAGACGAUUUUCAGCCCAGAAAUGUAUCACUGCAAACAGUGUGCCCAUGAGAGUAAAACUAUAAUAGGUUUUACUCAUCAUAUGAAACUUCACAGUAAUGCACCAAACUGCCCUUUUACCUGUGGUAUACCUGAUUGUACCCGUGCAUUCAGAAAAUUUGCAGCCUGUUUCCCCAUUUCCAGUCUGUGCUUAAUUAGGCUAACCAGCUUCUGUCUGAAGCCUUAUAUUUAACAUGAUAUCAUUUUAUUCAUUGUUAUUUAUUUAUGGGGAUUCAAAUUGAGUUCUGAAGGCAUGUUGUAAAACUGCUGAGUUUUAAUAAAAGUUUUGUUUUGCUGCAGCUCUGACUCUGGUUUUAUUUAACAUAUUACAUUUUUUUAAAUUAUUUUGCUAAUGUGAAAAACAAAAUUUAACUGUAAAAACAUUCAACAACAACAUAUUGUAUUGUGAAGUAUUAACAGCUAUUUACUGGCAACUUUAGUUGCCAGGUAACCUCUGUAAUUUGAAUAGAAUACAAGAUAAU
This is a long non-coding RNA of Solea solea (common sole), 867 nucleotides long. RefSeq lists it as uncharacterized. The record is from RefSeq and is a predicted model, not a curated record. The transcript has 3 exons. NCBI's taxonomy places the organism in Eukaryota, Metazoa, Chordata, Actinopteri, Pleuronectiformes, Soleidae.